This 254-nucleotide ribosomal RNA is filed under the name uncultured bacterium. RNAcentral describes it as "partial 16S ribosomal RNA". It matches the Rfam family "Bacterial small subunit ribosomal RNA", at positions 524 to 776 of the family's 1533-position model. The record is from RNAcentral.
CACGUAGGGGGCGAGCGUUGUCCGGAUUUAUUGGGCGUAAAGAGCUCGUAGGCGGUUCGGCAAGUCGGGUGUGAAAUUUCGAGGCUCAACCUCGAAACGCCACUCGAUACUGCUGUGACUGGAGUCCGGUAGAGGAGUGCGGAAUUCCUGGUGUAGCGGUGAAAUGCGCAGAUAUCAGGAGGAACACCGGUGGCGAAGGCGGGUCUCUGGGCCGAUACUGACGCUGAGGAGCGAAAGCGUGGGGAGCGAACAGG